AUGACACGAGUUAGCUUGCUGUGGGCAGUCGUGGUCUCCACCUGUCUUGAAUCCGGCAUGGCCCAGACAGUCACUCAGUCUCAACCAGAGAUGUCUGUGCAGGAGGCAGAGACUGUGACCCUGAGUUGCACAUAUGACACCAGUGAGAAUAAUUAUUAUUUGUUCUGGUACAAGCAGCCUCCCAGCAGGCAGAUGAUUCUCGUUAUUCGCCAAGAAGCUUAUAAGCAACAGAAUGCAACGGAGAAUCGUUUCUCUGUGAACUUCCAGAAAGCAGCCAAAUCCUUCAGUCUCAAGAUCUCAGACUCACAGCUGGGGGACACUGCGAUGUAUUUCUGUGCUUUCAUGAAGCA
This is a non-coding RNA of Homo sapiens (human), 350 nucleotides long. The record is from the annotation of a RefSeq genome assembly. Lineage: Eukaryota; Metazoa; Chordata; Mammalia; Primates; Hominidae.